GCCGGUCCUCGGUAGUGGUUCCCGGGUCAUCCCGGGGGCUUCGAUCGAAGACCGGC
This is a regulatory RNA element of 56 nucleotides. It matches the Rfam family "Actino-pnp RNA". The record is from Rfam.